UAGGGAAUCUUCGGCAAUGGGGGGAACCCUGACCGAGCAACGCCGCGUGAGUGAAGAAGGUUUUCGGAUCGUAAAGCUCUGUUGUUAAGGAAGAACGAGUGUGAGAAUGGAAAGUUCAUACUGUGACGGUACUUAACCAGAAAGGGACGGCUAACUACGUGCCAGCAGCCGCGGUAAUACGUAGGUCCCGAGCGUUGUCCGGAUUUAUUGGGCGUAAAGCGAGCGCAGGCGGUUAGAAAAGUCUGAAGUGAAAGGCAGUGGCUCAACCAUUGUAGGCUUUGGAAACUGUUUAGCUUGAGUGCAGAAGGGGAGAGUGGAAUUCCAUGUGUAGCGGUGAAAUGCGUAGAUAUAUGGAGGAACACCGGUGGCGAAAGCGGCUCUCUGGUCUGUAACUGACGCUGAGGCUCGAAAACGUGGGUAGCAAACAGG
This 429-nucleotide ribosomal RNA is filed under the name Bacteroidota bacterium. RNAcentral's name for it is "Bacteroidetes bacterium partial 16S ribosomal RNA". It matches the Rfam family "Bacterial small subunit ribosomal RNA", at positions 355 to 776 of the family's 1533-position model. Lineage: Bacteria; Pseudomonadati; Bacteroidota. The record is from RNAcentral.